RNAcentral lists this ribosomal RNA (2902 nucleotides) under Escherichia coli HVH 157 (4-3406229). RNAcentral's name for it is "bacterial LSU rRNA". It matches the Rfam family "Bacterial large subunit ribosomal RNA". Lineage: Bacteria; Pseudomonadati; Pseudomonadota; Gammaproteobacteria; Enterobacterales; Enterobacteriaceae. RNAcentral also lists the same sequence under 1 other name. The record is from RNAcentral.
UUAAGCGACUAAGCGUACACGGUGGAUGCCCUGGCAGUCAGAGGCGAUGAAGGACGUGCUAAUCUGCGAUAAGCGUCGGUGAGGUGAUAUGAACCGUUAUAACCGGCGAUUUCCGAAUGGGGAAACCCAGUGUGUUUCGACACACUAUCAUUAACUGAAUCCAUAGGUUAAUGAGGCGAACCGGGGGAACUGAAACAUCUAAGUACCCCGAGGAAAAGAAAUCAACCGAGAUUCCCCCAGUAGCGGCGAGCGAACGGGGAGGAGCCCAGAGCCUGAAUCAGUGUGUGUGUUAGUGGAAGCGUCUGGAAAGGCGUGCGAUACAGGGUGACAGCCUCGUACACAAAAAUGCACAUAUUGUGAGCUCGAUGAGUAGGGCGGGACACGUGGUAUCCUGUCUGAAUAUGGGGGGACCAUCCUCCAAGGCUAAAUACUCCUGACUGACCGAUAGUGAACCAGUACCGUGAGGGAAAGGCGAAAAGAACCCCGGCGAGGGGAGUGAAAAAGAACCUGAAACCGUGUACGUACAAGCAGUGGGAGCCUCUUAAUGGGGUGACUGCGUACCUUUUGUAUAAUGGGUCAGCGACUUAUAUUCUGUAGCAAGGUUAACCGAAUAGGGGAGCCGAAGGGAAACCGAGUCUUAACUGGGCGUUAAGUUGCAGGGUAUAGACCCGAAACCCGGUGAUCUAGCCAUGGGCAGGUUGAAGGUUGGGUAACACUAACUGGAGGACCGAACCGACUAAUGUUGAAAAAUUAGCGGAUGACUUGUGGCUGGGGGUGAAAGGCCAAUCAAACCGGGAGAUAGCUGGUUCUCCCCGAAAGCUAUUUAGGUAGCGCCUCGUGAAUUCAUCUCCGGGGGUAGAGCACUGUUUCGGCAAGGGGGUCAUCCCGACUUACCAACCCGAUGCAAACUGCGAAUACCGGAGAAUGUUAUCACGGGAGACACACGGCGGGUGCUAACGUCCGUCGUGAAGAGGGAAACAACCCAGACCGCCAGCUAAGGUCCCAAAGUCAUGGUUAAGUGGGAAACGAUGUGGGAAGGCCCAGACAGCCAGGAUGUUGGCUUAGAAGCAGCCAUCAUUUAAAGAAAGCGUAAUAGCUCACUGGUCGAGUCGGCCUGCGCGGAAGAUGUAACGGGGCUAAACCAUGCACCGAAGCUGCGGCAGCGACACUAUGUGUUGUUGGGUAGGGGAGCGUUCUGUAAGCCUGUGAAGGUGGCCUGUGAGGGUUGCUGGAGGUAUCAGAAGUGCGAAUGCUGACAUAAGUAACGAUAAAGCGGGUGAAAAGCCCGCUCGCCGGAAGACCAAGGGUUCCUGUCCAACGUUAAUCGGGGCAGGGUGAGUCGACCCCUAAGGCGAGGCCGAAAGGCGUAGUCGAUGGGAAACAGGUUAAUAUUCCUGUACUUGGUGUUACUGCGAAGGGGGGACGGAGAAGGCUAUGUUGGCCGGGCGACGGUUGUCCCGGUUUAAGCGUGUAGGCUGGUUUUCCAGGCAAAUCCGGAAAACCAAGGCUGAGGCGUGAUGACGAGGCACUACGGUGCUGAAGUGACAAAUGCCCUGCUUCCAGGAAAAGCCUCUAAGCAUCAGGUAACAUCAAAUCGUACCCAAAACCGACACAGGUGGUCAGGUAGAGAAUACCAAGGCGCUUGAGAGAACUCGGGUGAAGGAACUAGGCAAAAUGGUGCCGUAACUUCGGGAGAAGGCACGCUGAUAUGUAGGUGAAGCGACUUGCUCGUGGAGCUGAAAUCAGUCGAAGAUACCAGCUGGCUGCAACUGUUUAUUAAAAACACAGCACUGUGCAAACACGAAAGUGGACGUAUACGGUGUGACGCCUGCCCGGUGCCGGAAGGUUAAUUGAUGGGGUUAGCGGUAACGCGAAGCUCUUGAUCGAAGCCCCGGUAAACGGCGGCCGUAACUAUAACGGUCCUAAGGUAGCGAAAUUCCUUGUCGGGUAAGUUCCGACCUGCACGAAUGGCGUAAUGAUGGCCAGGCUGUCUCCACCCGAGACUCAGUGAAAUUGAACUCGCUGUGAAGAUGCAGUGUACCCGCGGCAAGACGGAAAGACCCCGUGAACCUUUACUAUAGCUUGACACUGAACAUUGAGCCUUGAUGUGUAGGAUAGGUGGGAGGCUUUGAAGUGUGGACGCCAGUCUGCAUGGAGCCGACCUUGAAAUACCACCCUUUAAUGUUUGAUGUUCUAACGUUGGCCCGUAAUCCGGGUUGCGGACAGUGUCUGGUGGGUAGUUUGACUGGGGCGGUCUCCUCCUAAAGAGUAACGGAGGAGCACGAAGGUUGGCUAAUCCUGGUCGGACAUCAGGAGGUUAGUGCAAUGGCAUAAGCCAGCUUGACUGCGAGCGUGACGGCGCGAGCAGGUGCGAAAGCAGGUCAUAGUGAUCCGGUGGUUCUGAAUGGAAGGGCCAUCGCUCAACGGAUAAAAGGUACUCCGGGGAUAACAGGCUGAUACCGCCCAAGAGUUCAUAUCGACGGCGGUGUUUGGCACCUCGAUGUCGGCUCAUCACAUCCUGGGGCUGAAGUAGGUCCCAAGGGUAUGGCUGUUCGCCAUUUAAAGUGGUACGCGAGCUGGGUUUAGAACGUCGUGAGACAGUUCGGUCCCUAUCUGCCGUGGGCGCUGGAGAACUGAGGGGGGCUGCUCCUAGUACGAGAGGACCGGAGUGGACGCAUCACUGGUGUUCGGGUUGUCAUGCCAAUGGCACUGCCCGGUAGCUAAAUGCGGAAGAGAUAAGUGCUGAAAGCAUCUAAGCACGAAACUUGCCCCGAGAUGAGUUCUCCCUGACUCCUUGAGAGUCCUGAAGGAACGUUGAAGACGACGACGUUGAUAGGCCGGGUGUGUAAGCGCAGCGAUGCGUUGAGCUAACCGGUACUAAUGAACCGUGAGGCUUAACCUU